CGCGUAGGCGGUGUUUUAAGUGAGAUGUGCAAUCCCCGAGCUUAACUUGGGAACUGCAUCUCAGACUGGAACGCUAGAGUGCUGGAGAGGGUGGUAGAAUUCCACGUGUAGCGGUGAAAUGCGUAGAGAUGUGGAGGAAUACCAGUGGCGAAGGCGGCCACCUGGACAGUAACUGACGCUGAGGCGCGAAAGUGUGGGUAGCAAACAGGAUUAGAUACCCUGGUAGUCCACGCUGUAAACGAUGAACACUUGGUGUGGUGGGAGUUCGACCCCUGCCGUGCCGUAGCUAACGCGAUAAGUGUUCCGCCUGGGGAGUACGGUCGCAAGGCUGAA
RNAcentral lists this ribosomal RNA (333 nucleotides) under uncultured bacterium. RNAcentral describes it as "bacterial SSU rRNA". It matches the Rfam family "Bacterial small subunit ribosomal RNA", at positions 568 to 898 of the family's 1533-position model. The record is from RNAcentral.